RNAcentral lists this ribosomal RNA (448 nucleotides) under uncultured soil bacterium. Its description in RNAcentral is "bacterial SSU rRNA". It matches the Rfam family "Bacterial small subunit ribosomal RNA", at positions 26 to 518 of the family's 1533-position model. The record is from RNAcentral.
AGAGCGAACGCUGGCGGCAGGCCUAACACAUGCAAGUCGAACGGACCCUUCGGGGUUAGUGGCGGACGGGUGAGUAACACGUGGGAACGUGCCUUUUGGUUCGGAAUAGCUCCUGGAGACGGGUGGUAAUGCCGAAUGUGCCCUUCGGGGGGAAAGAUUUAUCGCCAUUAGAGCGGCCCGCGUCUGAUUAGCUAGUUGGUAAGGUAAUGGCUUACCAAGGCGACGAUCAGUAGCUGGUCUGAGAGGAUGACCAGCCACAUUGGGACUGAGACACGGCCCAAACUCCUACGGGAGCAGCAGUGGGAAUCUUGCGCAAUGGGCGAAAGCCUGACGCAGCCAUGCCGCGUGAAUGAUGAAGGUCUUAGGAUUGUAAAAUUCUUUACACCGGGACGAUAAUGACGGUACCGGAAGAAGAACGCCCCGGCUAACGUUCGUGCCAGCACGCCGC